Molecule: long non-coding RNA, 279 nt
Filed under: Elaeis guineensis (African oil palm)
Lineage: Eukaryota; Viridiplantae; Streptophyta; Magnoliopsida; Arecales; Arecaceae
Description: long non-coding RNA (EGUI_LNC034010)
Source: RNAcentral
UGUUGCAUAUCGUUUGAUUACUGUAAUGAACCUAUAGAAUUACUACAAUUCUUGAAUGAGAUAGAACCUAUCUUUACCUAUUAGUUGGUGAUAGGAUGCAUUUAUUGCAUAUCUAAAAAUGAUAUUUAAUGUAUUCUUGUUCCUUCAAAUAUUUAUUUAUAAUGCAUUGGUAUGUAAUGAUGUUUAAUACAAAUAAUAUUUUUUAUUUAUAAUGCAUUGGUAUCUAAAAAUAAUAUUUAAUGUAAAUAAUAUUUUUUGUUUGCCUAUGUAAUGAUCUCG